AGAGAGUCAUAGAAUCUCACCCAAACAAACCAUCCAGGGAAAACACAGCCAGUCUCCUUUUUGGUAAACCUCUGUGAUGGGCGUUCUCCAAGCACCUGCCCUGAGCAAUGCCUGGGAGGUCCUGUGUGCCACCUGUUCUUAUGGGCCAGCCUGUCAGACCCUGGACUCCUGGAGGAAGACACAUCAGCCCCAUGGCCCUGAGGAUGGUGGAGCAGGAUUUCUAAGAUUUCAUAUUUUAAAAGAUGCGUCUGAAG
This is a long non-coding RNA of Hipposideros armiger (great roundleaf bat), 254 nucleotides long. RefSeq lists it as uncharacterized. Lineage: Eukaryota; Metazoa; Chordata; Mammalia; Chiroptera; Hipposideridae. The transcript has 3 exons. The record is from RefSeq and is a predicted model, not a curated record.